GCGUUAUCGGGAGCAGUGCCUUCCAUAAUUA
Poecilia formosa (Amazon molly) is the source of this 31-nucleotide non-coding RNA. The record is from Rfam. NCBI's taxonomy places the organism in Eukaryota, Metazoa, Chordata, Actinopteri, Cyprinodontiformes, Poeciliidae.